UGGGGAAUAUUGCACAAUGGGCGCAAGCCUGAUGCAGCCAUGCCGCGUGUGUGAAGAAGGCCUUCGGGUUGUAAAGCACUUUCAGCGGGGAGGAAGGCGAUAAGGUUAAUAACCUCAUCGAUUGACGUUACCCGCAGAAGAAGCACCGGCUAACUCCGUGCCAGCAGCCGCGGUAAUACGGAGGGUGCAAGCGUUAAUCGGAAUUACUGGGCGUAAAGCGCACGCAGGCGGUCUGUCAAGUCGGAUGUGAAAUCCCCGGGCUCAACCUGGGAACUGCAUUCGAAACUGGCAGGCUGGAGUCUUGUAGAGGGGGGUAGAAUUCCAGGUGUAGCGGUGAAAUGCGUAGAGAUCUGGAGGAAUACCGGUGGCGAAGGCGGCCCCCUGGACAAAGACUGACGCUCAGGUGCGAAAGCGUGGGGAGCAAACAGG
Molecule: ribosomal RNA, 429 nt
Filed under: Chloroflexota bacterium
Lineage: Bacteria; Bacillati; Chloroflexota
Description: Chloroflexi bacterium partial 16S ribosomal RNA
Rfam family: Bacterial small subunit ribosomal RNA
Source: RNAcentral